This 794-nucleotide ribosomal RNA is filed under the name uncultured bacterium. Its description in RNAcentral is "bacterial SSU rRNA". It matches the Rfam family "Bacterial small subunit ribosomal RNA", at positions 1 to 827 of the family's 1533-position model. The record is from RNAcentral.
CGAGGGNNNNNAAUAUCGCCNAUUCCCUUNAGUUGAUAUGGNUCAAACGAACGCUGGCGGCAGGCUUACACAUGCAAGUCGAGCGCCCCGCAAGGGGAGCGGCAGACGGGUGAGUAACGCGUGGGAAUCUACCCAACUCUACGGAACAACUCCGGGAAACUGGAGCUAAUACCGUAUACGUCCUUCGGGAGAAAGAUUUAUCGGAGUUGGAUGAGCCCGCGUUGGAUUAGCUAGUUGGUGGGGUAAUGGCCUACCAAGGCGACGAUCCAUAGCUGGUCUGAGAGGAUGAUCAGCCACACUGGGACUGAGACACGGCCCAGACUCCUACGGGAGGCAGCAGUGGGGAAUAUUGGACAAUGGGCGAAAGCCUGAUCCAGCCAUGCCGCGUGAGUGAUGAAGGCCCUAGGGUUGUAAAGCUCUUUCACCGGUGAAGAUAAUGACGGUAACCGGAGAAGAAGCCCCGGCUAACUUCGUGCCAGCAGCCGCGGUAAUACGAAGGGGGCUAGCGUUGUUCGGAAUUACUGGGCGUAAAGCGCACGUAGGCGGACUAUUAAGUCAGGGGUGAAAUCCCGGGGCUCAACCCCGGAACUGCCUUUGAUACUGGUAGUCUCGAGUCCGGAAGAGGUGAGUGGAAUUCCGAGUGUAGAGGUGAAAUUCGUAGAUAUUCNGAGGAACACCAGUGGCGAANGCGGCUCACUGGUCCGGUACUGACGCUGAGGUGCGAAAGCGUGGGGAGCAAAAGGAUUAAAUACCCUGGUAGUCCACGCCCGUAACGAUUGAAGCUACCCUUGGCA